CCCCGCCCUUCCCCCGGGCUUGGGCCGGCCGGGGGUCCCCGCCGCCUUGCCCGGCCCUGCCUGCCGGGCCCCGCCUGUGUGCACCCCGAAACUGGGGUGGGGAGGGCGGCCCCGGAGCCCGCCCGGAGCGGGGCUGGCCGGCGUUGCCUCAGUCGCUUAAGCUGAGGUGGUCUGUGGUGGACUGCGGCCUCCUGGGCAGGUCCUUCCUCUCGAAUUAUAAUGUUCUUCAAAAUCAGGCACUUGCUGUGACCCAUCUGUAACUCUGGUAGAUGCUCAAGAUUGCUCAGCUCUUCCUAAAUUGUGCAGACGAUUAGAAUCGCUUUGCUCAGCAGCUAUUUGUAGGAUACUGAAUAAGCCAAGGAGCCGUGCCAGUUCCUGCUGAGAAUCAGUGAUCAGCUCUUGUGCUGGGGGAAAAGGCGGUAGGAGCGGAGCCCUUCUGAGGGAAAGCUGCCUUAUUAAAGACCUGUCAGCUGCUGCCAAAACCAACAAGGUGAACAGCCCUCGUGGGCAUCCGUGAGCCCGUGGGUUGGGAGGUCUCUGCUCGUGGCACAGUCCACUGGCUGAAAGCACCUGGGGUUUGAAGGAGCCAGUGGUCCUUUCUGAUUAACAGCCUCCUACAAAACACAUUUUCAUCUAAUUUACCUCUUUUGGCUUUCAAAUAAGCAAGUAAUGUCACACCUGCUAAGCAGCUAGAAUUAUGCAGCAUCAUAAAUUAAACUUUUUAAUUUGCCAAAAUUCCUGGCUUAUACCAUUUAUCAUUCAGAGCCGUCCUUCAGAGAGGCAGAAGAAUUUCCUGCGUGGCUGUGCACGAGAGGCGAAUCUUUUCCCUUCGCUCCACAGCGCAGGAUGAGGCACGGAUGACGGUGGGCAGUGAGUGCCAGCACCAGGAGAAGCUCUCCAGAAAGGUGCUUUGUUAGUGAAGUCAUUAACCCCAGGACACUUGCGUGGCAGUGCUGCGUUUUGCACCACAUACCCACGGCAGCUGCUUUAGGCUGAGAGACCGGCGCGGUCCUGCUGUUUGGGUCCCCACGGUGCGAACCGAAGCCCUUGGGCAGUGGGGCGGCACUGAAGAGGCAGCUGCUUUGCUGCUGCUAGAUACUCUGAGACAUUCUUACAAAUGGGAGCACGAUGCUCAGAUUAGUGAUGCUUUUCCAGCUGAGUAGGCUGGCAUCAGCUACAAGCACUCUGCCAUACAGGGAGGGAAAGUGUCUUUAUCAAGUUGGGUAGUUUUGACCUCCCUCUUCCUCUCCCUUGACUCAAGGCUCAAAGCUACUUAGCCCAUGAGGCAGGGAAUCAGAGAGGAGGCUAUUUCUAUAAAUGCAUUUCACUGAUAAAAGCUGGGCUUUGAAGAUUGAUAUCUCUUGAAAACUCUUUAAUACAGUGAAUAUCUGUUGGAAAAAUAUUGAUGAGAGUGGGUUUUACAUAUAAGAGCAAGGUGGUGCUGGUGCUUAGCAGAAGCUUCGUGGACACGAAAUCAGAAAUGUGAUCUUGUCCCAGGUCUGGUAAUUCCAGAUGAAAUGGGGUGCUUGCAAUGUCUUUUUCCUGUCAAAACUGGCAAUGGAUUUUCCCCCACUGCCUUUCCUUUCAGGCCAAAUGAUGAACCCUUCUCAUUGUUUGGAGAGUGGUGGUGGUGUUCUCCUUCCAAAUGAGAAAUAAAACCUCACUUAUGGAUUACAAUAGUUUGAGGUGAGGGAUGUGGAGUGGAAACACUAUAGUGAAAAAAUACUUUCCUGUUAAAGAAAUAUUUGAAGCCACAACAAUUUGGUUUUUGAAAAAUUUAUGAAGAGUUGUCUAGGCUGCAAGUAAUACAAAUGAGUUAAACUACUCAUAGGCAGUUGCCCUUUUCCAUAAGCAAAAAAAUCAUAUCAAAACAAAUACAGAUAUAUGUGAACGUGCUUAUGGUAAAAGAACUGCGUUUAAAGAACUUAACGCAAAAAUGGUGGCACCACAGUCUAGCAUAAAAAAGAAGAUGAGGGCGGUUUGUGGUACCUUGCAGAGAGAGAGUUUAAUUUGGAUGCUACCUCUUCUUUCUGUAAAACAUCCGCAUAGCUGCUGGGAAAAUAAGUUGGGAAGGAGCCAAGAAGAACAGCAGUGAAUGGCAUGAACACCACAAUGGGAAAACAAAGUCCACCCACCGCGUGCAGCGCAGCGUGACGCAGCUUUCCCUCUCUGCUGUCUGCUUUCCUCGGGCCAGAGGUGCAGCCCAGGGUCAGCGGGCAGAAGGUGGUUUUUGUGUGCUGGCCUGGCUGCUGGGACCCUCCUUCCAUUAAUUACUAGAAGUCUUUGGAGGACCUGCAGCUUCUCUUGACCUUUUUGCUGCCCGCUGUACAGCACCGCUGUUCCGGCAGGGGACUCUGCCGGGGCCGUGGCCCCGGGGCUCGGAGGAGAUGCCUGCGAGCCAGGUCCUGUGCUCCUAUGCAUGCUGCGUCUGAGCCUGCGGUGCAGUGCUGGCUGAUACAAGGUGGUCCUGUAAUACACUAACUCACAGCCAGAUCUGCCGGAAAAAUAGCCUAAAAAGGCUACUGUUCCUAAUACUCCAGGUGCAAACAUCAGUGAGGCUGGAGGUGUUUGCCAGUUGCUGUUUGCACCCGCUUGCCUCUGUGUGUCCUUGAUGGACAGCCUUCUCCGAGCAGGAUCCUGAGCUUGUCAGGGGGAGAGAAAAAGAGCUGUGAAGGCUCAGAGAUGCACUCACUGAGGUACCAAAACUCCUCUUCUGAUCUCAAGCAAUCAGGAUAAUUCAUGGAGGUUUUAUCUUGGUGCGGUCUCUACUGAGGGAAGACCAGCUCAAGUUCAGUAUGCACAUUGCCCAUGUGUUACUGAUAAACGAUCUUCUACGCUGUAUCCCUGCUGUUAGGGAUAUAAAAAUCCUUUGUUUAAAUUAACACUACAUUAUUGCUGUUCACAUCUAAAUUAAAAUGUGGAGACCAAGCCUGUAAUAGUUACACACCUCUCGUCCCAAAGCACUGCCGAGCCCCUCUCAGUCAGCAAUGCGAAUGCGCGAUGUGGGUAGCAGAGCGUGCUCCAGCUUACUGCCGGGUCUGGAGCAGCAGUGCAAUUCCCAGUCCAGUGGUGGAACAAGCCCAUCCCUGUGGGUCGGUACCAUUAAACGUCUUCUGGAAUCUAAAUCAAGUAAGCUGGAUGCACAUAACCUCA
Grus americana (Whooping crane) is the source of this 3153-nucleotide long non-coding RNA. RefSeq lists it as uncharacterized. Lineage: Eukaryota; Metazoa; Chordata; Aves; Gruiformes; Gruidae. The record is from RefSeq and is a predicted model, not a curated record. The transcript has 3 exons.